GUCUCUGGCCACGCCACCCUGAACGAGCCCGAUCCCGUCUGGUCUCGGAAGCUGAGCAGGGUCGGGCCUGGUUAGUCCUUGGAUGGGAGACCACCUAGCAAGACCAGACACUGUAGGUG
This 119-nucleotide ribosomal RNA is filed under the name Pteropus alecto (black flying fox). Lineage: Eukaryota; Metazoa; Chordata; Mammalia; Chiroptera; Pteropodidae. The record is from RNAcentral.